This 27-nucleotide non-coding RNA is filed under the name Mus musculus (house mouse). Lineage: Eukaryota; Metazoa; Chordata; Mammalia; Rodentia; Muridae. The record is from RNAcentral.
UGGAGGUUUGAGAUUGCCCAUCUUAGC